UGAGUGGCGGACGGGUGAGUAACGCGUGGGCAACCUGGCCUGUACAGGGGGAUAACACUUAGAAAUAGGUGCUAAUACCGCAUAACGGGGGAAGCCGCAUGGCUUUUCCCUGAAAACUCCGGUGGUACAGGAUGGGCCCGCGUCUGAUUAGCCAGUUGGCAGGGUAACGGCCUACCAAAGCGACGAUCAGUGGCCGGCCUGAGAGGGCGGACGGCCACACUGGGACUGAGACACGGCCCAGACUCCUACGGAAGGCAGCAG
RNAcentral lists this ribosomal RNA (261 nucleotides) under uncultured bacterium. RNAcentral describes it as "partial 16S ribosomal RNA". It matches the Rfam family "Bacterial small subunit ribosomal RNA", at positions 92 to 354 of the family's 1533-position model. The record is from RNAcentral.